UCAUAAUCAGUGAAAACGAGUAGGGCGGGACACGUGAUAUCCUGUCUGAAUAUGGGGGGACCAUCCUCCAAGGCUAAAUACUACUGACUGACCGAUAGUGAACCAGUACCGUGAGGGAAAGGCGAAAAGAACCCCUGUGAGGGGAGUGAAAUAGAACCUGAAACCGUGUACGUACAAGCAGUAGGAGCACCUUCGUGGUGUGACUGCGUACCUUUUGUAUAAUGGGUCAGCGACUUAAUUUUAGUAGCAAGGUUAACCGUUUAGGGGAGCCGUAGGGAAACCGAGUCUUAACUGGGCGUACAGUUGCUAGGAUUAGACCCGAAACCAGGUGAUCUAGCCAUGGGCAGGUUGAAGGUUGAGUAACAUCAACUGGAGGACCGAACCGACUAAUGUUGAAAAAUUAGCGGAUGACUUGUGGCUAGGGGUGAAAGGCCAAUCAAACCUGGAGAUAGCUGGUUCUCCCCGAAAGCUAUUUAGGUAGCGCCUCGGACGAAUACUACUGGGGGUAGAGCACUGUUAAGGCUAGGGGGUCAUCCCGACUUACCAACCCUUUGCAAACUCCGAAUACCAGUAAGUACUAUCCGGGAGACACACGGCGGGUGCUAACGUCCGUCGUGGAGAGGGAAACAACCCAGACCGCCAGCUAAGGUCCCAAAGUAUAGCUAAGUGGGAAACGAUGUGGGAAGGCUCAGACAGCCAGGAUGUUGGCUUAGAAGCAGCCAUCAUUUAAAGAAAGCGUAAUAGCUCACUGGUCGAGUCGGCCUGCGCGGAAGAUGUAACGGGGCUAAGCUAUACACCGAAGCUGCGGCUACGUACCUUAGGGUAUGUGGGGUAGGGGAGCGUUCUGUAAGCCGUUGAAGGUGGUCUGUAAGGGCUGCUGGAGGUAUCAGAAGUGCGAAUGCUGACAUGAGUAACGAUAAAGGGAGUGAAAAACUCCCUCGCCGGAAGACCAAGGGUUCCUGUCCAACGUUAAUCGGGGCAGGGUAAGUCGACUCCUAAGGCGAGGCCGAAAGGCGUAGUCGAUGGGAAACGGGUUAAUAUUCCCGUACUUCUUACAAUUGCGAUGGGGGGACGGAGAAGGCUAGGUGGGCCUGGCGACGGUUGUCCAGGUUCAAGUAUGUAGGCGGAAAGUUUAGGUAAAUCCGGACUUUCAUUAACGCUGAGAUACGAUGUCGAGCUACUACGGUAGUGAAGUCAUUGAUGCCAUGCUUCCAGGAAAAGCCUCUAAGCUUCAGAUUGUAAGGAAUCGUACCCCAAACCGACACAGGUGGUCGGGUAGAGAAUACCAAGGCGCUUGAGAGAACUCGGGUGAAGGAACUAGGCAAAAUGGUACCGUAACUUCGGGAGAAGGUACGCUCUUAUCAGUGAAGUCCCUUGCGGAUGGAGCAGACGAGAGUCGCAGAUACCAGGUGGCUGCAACUGUUUAUUAAAAACACAGCACUGUGCAAAAUCGUAAGAUGACGUAUACGGUGUGACGCCUGCCCGGUGCCGGAAGGUUAAUUGAUGGGGUUAGUCUUCGGACGAAGCUCUUGAUCGAAGCCCCGGUAAACGGCGGCCGUAACUAUAACGGUCCUAAGGUAGCGAAAUUCCUUGUCGGGUAAGUUCCGACCUGCACGAAUGGCGUAAUGAUGGCCACGCUGUCUCCACC
Molecule: ribosomal RNA, 1648 nt
Filed under: Vibrio splendidus
Lineage: Bacteria; Pseudomonadati; Pseudomonadota; Gammaproteobacteria; Vibrionales; Vibrionaceae
Description: partial 23S ribosomal RNA
Rfam family: Bacterial large subunit ribosomal RNA
Source: RNAcentral